AGAGUUUGAUCCUGGCUCAGAUUGAACGCUGGCGGCAUGCCUAACACAUGCAAGUCGAACGGUAACGCGAAGAGCUUGCUCUUUGGCGACGAGUGGCGGACGGGUGAGUAAUACUUAGGAAUCUACCCAGUAGCGGGGGACAACUCGGGGAAACUCGAGCUAAUACCGCAUACGCCCUAAGGGGGAAAGCGGGGGAUCUUCGGACCUCGCGCUAUUGGAUGAGCCUAAGUCGGAUUAGCUAGUUGGUGGGGUAAAGGCCUACCAAGGCGACGAUCCGUAGCUGGUCUGAGAGGACGAUCAGCCACACUGGGACUGAGACACGGCCCAGACUCCUACGGGAGGCAGCAGUGGGGAAUAUUGGACAAUGGGGGAAACCCUGAUCCAGCAAUGCCGCGUGUGUGAAGAAGGCCUGCGGGUUGUAAAGCACUUUCAGUAGAGAAGAAAUGCCUGGAGCUAACAUCUCCGGGUCUUGACGUAACCUACAGAAGAAGCACCGGCUAACUCCGUGCCAGCAGCCGCGGUAAUACGGAGGGUGCGAGCGUUAAUCGGAAUUACUGGGCGUAAAGCGCGCGUAGGCGGUUUGGUCAGUCGAUUGUGAAAGCCCUGGGCUUAACCUGGGAAUUGCAGUCGAUACUGCCUGACUAGAAUGUGGAAGAGGGAAGUGGAAUUUCCGGUGUAGCGGUGAAAUGCGUAGAUAUCGGAAGGAACACCAGUGGCGAAGGCGGCUUCCUGGUCCAACAUUGACGCUGAGGUGCGAAAGCGUGGGGAGCGAACAGGAUUAGAUACCCUG
RNAcentral lists this ribosomal RNA (790 nucleotides) under uncultured Methylococcus sp. Its description in RNAcentral is "bacterial SSU rRNA". It matches the Rfam family "Bacterial small subunit ribosomal RNA", at positions 8 to 789 of the family's 1533-position model. The record is from RNAcentral. Lineage: Bacteria; Pseudomonadati; Pseudomonadota; Gammaproteobacteria; Methylococcales; Methylococcaceae.